GAUGAACGCUGGCGGCGUGCCUAAUACAUGCAAGUCGAGCGAACGGACGAGAAGCUUGCUUCUCUGAUGUUAGCGGCGGACGGGUGAGUAACACGUGGAUAACCUACCUAUAAGACUGGGAUAACUUCGGGAAACCGGAGCUAAUACCGGAUGAUAUUUUGAACCGCAUGGUUCAAAAGUGAAAGACGGUCUUGCUGUCACUUAUAGAUGGAUCCGCGCUGCAUUAGCUAGUUGGUAAGGUAACGGCUUACCAAGGCAACGAUGCAUAGCCGACGUGAGAGGGUGAUCGGCCACACUGGAGCUGAGACACGGUCCAGACUCCUACGGGAGGCAGCAGUAGGGAAUCGUCCGCAAUGGGCGAAAGCCUGGCGGAGCAACGCCGCGUGAGUGAUAAAGGUCUUCGGAUCGUAAAACUCUGUUAUUAGGGAAGAACAGAUGUGUAAGUAACUGUGCACAUCUUGACGGUACCUAAUCAGAAAGCCACGGCUAACUACGUG
RNAcentral lists this ribosomal RNA (497 nucleotides) under uncultured bacterium. Its description in RNAcentral is "partial 16S ribosomal RNA". It matches the Rfam family "Bacterial small subunit ribosomal RNA", at positions 28 to 507 of the family's 1533-position model. The record is from RNAcentral.